GCAGUCGAGCGGUAACAGAUCGUAGCUUGCUACACGCUGACGAGCGGCGGACGGGUGAGUAAUGCAUAGGAAUCUGCCCGGUAGUGGGGGAUAACCUGGGGAAACCCAGGCUAAUACCGCAUACGUCCUACGGGAGAAAGGGGGCUUCGGCUCCCGCUAUUGGAUGAGCCUAUGUCGGAUUAGCUAGUUGGUGAGGUAAAGGCUCACCAAGGCGACGAUCCGUAGCUGGUCUGAGAGGAUGAUCAGCCACAUCGGGACUGAGACACGGCCCGAACUCCUACGGGAGGCAGCAGUGGGGAAUAUUGGACAAUGGGGGCAACCCUGAUCCAGCCAUGCCGCGUGUGUGAAGAAGGCCUUCGGGUUGUAAAGCACUUUCAGCGAGGAAGAACGCCUGGUGGUUAAUACCCGUCAGGAAAGACAUCACUCGCAGAAGAAGCACCGGCUAACUCCGUGCCAGCAGCCGCGGUAAUACGGAGGGUGCAAGCGUUAAUCGGAAUUACUGGGCGUAAAGCGCGCGUAGGUGGCUUGAUAAGCCGGUUGUGAAAGCCCCGGGCUCAACCUGGGAACGGCAUCCGGAACUGUCAGACUAGAGUGCAGGAGAGGAAGGUAGAAUUCCCGGUGUAGCGGUGAAAUGCGUAGAGAUCGGGAGGAAUACCAGUGGCGAAGGCGGCCUUCUGGACUGACACUGACACUGAGGUGCGAAAGCGUGGGUAGCAAACAGGAUUAGAUA
RNAcentral lists this ribosomal RNA (730 nucleotides) under Halomonas sp. Its description in RNAcentral is "bacterial SSU rRNA". It matches the Rfam family "Bacterial small subunit ribosomal RNA", at positions 57 to 784 of the family's 1533-position model. The record is from RNAcentral. Lineage: Bacteria; Pseudomonadati; Pseudomonadota; Gammaproteobacteria; Oceanospirillales; Halomonadaceae.